Molecule: ribosomal RNA, 253 nt
Filed under: uncultured bacterium
Lineage: Bacteria
Description: partial 16S ribosomal RNA
Rfam family: Bacterial small subunit ribosomal RNA
Source: RNAcentral
UACGUAGGAGGCAAGCGUUGUCCGGAAUUACUGGGCGUAAAGCGCGUGUAGGUGGUGGGACAAGUCUGCUGUGAAAACUCGAGGCUCAACCUCGAGACGUCGGCGGAAACCAUCUGGCUAGAGUCCGGAAGAGGAGAGUGGAAUUCCUGGUGUAGCGGUGAAAUGCGCAGAUAUCAGGAAGAACACCCGUGGCGAAGGCGGCUCUCUGGGACGGUACUGACGCUGAGACGCGAAAGCGUGGGGAGCGAACAGG